Molecule: ribosomal RNA, 301 nt
Filed under: uncultured bacterium
Lineage: Bacteria
Description: partial 16S ribosomal RNA
Rfam family: Bacterial small subunit ribosomal RNA
Source: RNAcentral
CAGUAGCCGCGGGAAUACGGAGGGCGCGAGCGUUACCCGGAUUUACUGGGCGUAAAGGGCGUGUAGGCGGCCUGGGGCGUCCCAUGUGAAAGGCCACGGCUCAACCGUGGAGGAGCGUGGGAUACGCUCAGGCUAGAGGGUGGGAGAGGGUGGUGGAAUUCCGGGAGUAGCGGUGAAAUGUGCAGAUACCGGGAGGAACGCCGAUGGCGAAGGCAGCCACCUGGUCCACUUCUGACGCUGAGGCGCGAAAGCGUGGGGAGUAAACCGGAUUAGAGACCCGCGUAGUCCCUGUCUCUUAUAC